Molecule: ribosomal RNA, 651 nt
Filed under: uncultured Bacteroidales bacterium
Lineage: Bacteria; Pseudomonadati; Bacteroidota; Bacteroidia; Bacteroidales
Description: bacterial SSU rRNA
Rfam family: Bacterial small subunit ribosomal RNA
Source: RNAcentral
CUUGCUAAGGCCGAUGGCGACCGGCGCACGGGUGAGUAACACGUAUCCAACCUGCCGUCUACUCUUGGACAGCCUUCUGAAAGGAAGAUUAAUACAAGAUGGCAUCAUGAGUCCACAUGUUCACAUGAUUAAAGGUAUUCCGGUAGACGAUGGGGAUGCGUUCCAUUAGAUAGUAGGCGGGGUAACGGCCCACCUAGUCUUCGAUGGAUAGGGGUUCUGAGAGGAAGGUCCCCCACAUUGGAACUGAGACACGGUCCAAACUCCUACGGGAGGCAGCAGUGAGGAAUAUUGGUCAAUGGGCGCAGGCCUGAGCCAGCCAAGUAGCGUGAAGGAUGACUGCCCUAUGGGUUGUAAACUUCUUUUAUAAAGGAAUAAAGUCGGGUAUGCAUACCCGUUUGCAUGUACUUUAUGAAUAAGGAUCGGCUAACUCCGUGCCAGCAGCCGCGGUAAUACGGAGGAUCCGAGCGUUAUCCGGAUUUAUUGGGUUUAAAGGGAGCGUAGAUGGAUGUUUAAGUCAGUUGUGAAAGUUUGCGGCUCAACCGUAAAAUUGCAGUUGAUACUGGAUAUCUUGAGUGCAGUUGAGGCAGGCGGAAUUCGUGGUGUAGCGGUGAAAUGCUUAGAUAUCACGAAGAACUCCGAUUGCGAAGGCAG